This 390-nucleotide ribosomal RNA is filed under the name uncultured bacterium. RNAcentral's name for it is "bacterial SSU rRNA". It matches the Rfam family "Bacterial small subunit ribosomal RNA", at positions 28 to 414 of the family's 1533-position model. The record is from RNAcentral.
GAUGAACGCUAGCGACAGGCCUAACACAUGCAAGUCGAACGGCAGCAUGGCCUAGCUUGCUAGGUUGAUGGCGAGUGGCGAACGGGUGAGUAACGCGUAGGAAUAUGCCCUGGAGAGGGGGAUAACUUGGGGAAACUCAAGCUAAUACCGCAUGAACUCUGAGGAGCGAAGCUGGGGACCUUAGGGCCUGGCGCUUCAGGAAUAGCCUGCGUCUGAUUAGCUAGUUGGUGGGGUAAGGGCCUACCAAGGCGACGAUCGGUAGCUGGUCUGAGAGGAUGAUCAGCCACACUGGGACUGAGACACGGCCCAGACUCCUACGGGAGGCAGCAGUGGGGAAUAUUGCACAAUGGCCGAAAGCCUGAUGCAGCAACGCCGCGUGAGCGAUGAAGG